CCAGGCUGCAGUGCCAAAGAGCUGCCCCUUGCUGUGUCAGUGCUCCAGUUUUUCUGCAGCUCACCCAAGGCUGCUGUCCACUAUGCUGCUGUUCCCACCCUCAGUAAGGUUGCCAUGAAGCAUCUGUCAGCUGUGACAGCUUGUAAUCUGGAUCUGGAGAACCUGGUCACAGACUGAAACCGCAGCCGUGCCAUGCUGGCCAUCGCCACCCUCCUUAAGAGGGGCAGUGACAGCAGCAUCGACCACCUCAUGAAGCAGUUCUCCUCCUUCAUGUCAGAGAUCUUGGAUGAAUUCAAGGUGGUGGUUGUCCAGGCUAUCAGUGCCCUGUGUCAGAAGUAUCCUCGCAAACAUGCCAUCCUCAUGAACUUCCUGUUCACCAUGCUGUGGGAAGAGGGUGGUUUUGAGUACAAGCACACCACCGUGGACUGCAUCAUCAGCAUCAUUGAGGAGAACUCAGAGAGCAAGGAGACAGGGCUGUCACAUCUGUGCGAGUUCAUCGAGGACUGCGAGUUCACAGUGCUGGCCACCCGUAUUCUACAUCUUCUGGGCCAGGAGGGGUCCAAGAACACCAAUCCCUCAAAGUACAUCCACUUCAUCUAUAACCGAGUGGUCUUGGAGCAUGAGGAGGUCUGGGCAGGUGCUGUGAGUGCUCUGGCCAAGAUUGGAGCCCAGAAUGAAGAGAUGUUACCCAGUAUCUUGGUGUUGCUGAAGAGGUGUGUGAUGGAUGAUGGCAAUGAAGUAAGGGACCGAGCCACCUUCUACCUAAAUGUCCUGGAGCAGAAGCAGAAAGCCCUCAAUGCAGGCUAUAUGCUAAAUGGUCUGACUGUGUCCAUCCUGGUCUGGAGAGGGCUCUGCAGCAGUACGCUCUAGAACCAUCAGAAAAACCUUUUGACCUCAAGUCUGUGCCCCUGGCCACGGCACCCACGGCAGAGCAGAGAACAGAAAGUACUCCCAUCACAGCUGUCAAACAGCCUGAGAAAGUGGCAGCUACCAGGCAGGAGGUCUUCAGGAGCAGUUGGUGGCGGUGCCAGAGUUCCAGGGACUUGGGCCCUUCUUCAAGUCCUCGCCUGAGCCCGUGGCCCUCACAGAGUCAGAGACGGGGGAAUGUCACCCGCUGCACCAAACAAACCUUCACCAACUACAUGGUGUUUCAGUUUGACUGCACAAACACAGUCAAUGACCAGACCCUGGAAAAUGUCACAGUGCAGAUGGAGCCCACUGAGGCCUAUGAGGUGCUCUGUUACGUGCCUGCCCAGAGCCUGCCCUACAACCAGCCUGGGACCUGCUACACACUGGUGGCACUGCCCAAAGAAGAUGCCACAACCUGCGCAUUCAGCUGCAUGAUGAAGCUCACUGUCAAGGACCGUGAUCCCACCACUGGGGAGACGGAUGACGAAGGCUAUGAGGAUGAGUAUGUGCUGGAAGAUCUGGAAGUUACUGUAGCUGAUCACAUUCAAGUCAUGAAACUGAACUUCGAAGCAGCCUGGGAUGAGGUAGGGGAUGAAUUUGAGAAGGAAGAAACGUUCAGCUUGUCUACCAUCAAGGCACUUCAAGAGGCUGUGGGUAAUAUUGUGAAGUUCUUGGGAAUGAACCCUUGUGAGAGGUCAAAGUGCCGGGGAACAAGAACACCCACAUGUUGGUCCUGGCUGGUGUGUUCCGGGGUGGUCAUGACAUCCUAGUGCACUCUCGGCUGCUGCUUUUGGACACAGUGACAACGCAGUUGACACCCAGAAGUUUGGAGGAGCUGCCAGUAGACAUCAUCUUGGUCUAUCUUUUUCGAACUUCUCAACAUUCCUCUGCUCAUCCUCACCCGCGCCCUUGGAAUACCACACUUGUACAGACAACAACACCAAUCACUACGUCACAUAUCGCCAACACUGCGCGGGAAACCCCCCCCCCCGUCGCGGUGGCUCAGCCUCGCUCACACUCCCCACGCACUUCUGGGGCACGCGGCCCCGAGGACUGGCGCCGGAUCACCGAGGCUCAGCCCCCCACGGAGAUCGAGACCAAUCCUCGCUAA
Molecule: RNA transcript, 2020 nt
Organism: Cercocebus atys (sooty mangabey)
Lineage: Eukaryota; Metazoa; Chordata; Mammalia; Primates; Cercopithecidae
Gene name: coatomer subunit gamma-1 pseudogene
Exons: 3
Source: RefSeq, a predicted model, not a curated record